This 361-nucleotide ribosomal RNA is filed under the name uncultured bacterium. RNAcentral describes it as "partial 16S ribosomal RNA". It matches the Rfam family "Bacterial small subunit ribosomal RNA", at positions 338 to 697 of the family's 1533-position model. The record is from RNAcentral.
CCUACGGGCGGCAGCAGUGAGGAAUAUUGGUCAAUGGGCGCAGGCCUGAACCAGCCAAGUCGCGUGAGGGAAGACUGCCCUAUGGGUUGUAAACCUCUUUUAUAAGGGGAGAAUAAUGACUACGUGUAGUCAGAUGCACUUACCUUAUGAAUAAGCAUCGGAUAACUCCGUGCCAGCAGCCGCGGUAAUACGGGGGAUGCGAGCGUUAUCCGGAUUUAUUGGGUUUAACGGGUAGGUAGGCGGGAUUUUAAGUUAGUGGUAAAACGUCGGGGCUUCACCUUGAAUGGCCAUUAAAACUGGAGUACUAGAGUACAGAAGAGGUAGGCGGAAUAAGUUAAGUAGCGGUGAAAUGCUUAGAGAU